UUUUGAUGGUGAGGGCAUUCCCUGAGAAUAUAUUUGAACCUCUCCCAUGCUUAAUACAAGUUCUCAUCUGGCUUAUUCUUAAAACAUAAAUUUUACUAUGUAACCU
Molecule: non-coding RNA, 106 nt
Organism: Capsicum annuum
Lineage: Eukaryota; Viridiplantae; Streptophyta; Magnoliopsida; Solanales; Solanaceae
Source: Rfam